UCCCAGGUGGCUCAGAUGGUAAAGAAUCCACCUGCAAUGUGGGUGACCUGGGUUCAAUCCCUAGGCUGGGAA
RNAcentral lists this transfer RNA (72 nucleotides) under Ovis aries (sheep). It matches the Rfam family "tRNA". Rfam says of the family: Transfer RNA (tRNA) molecules are approximately 80 nucleotides in length. Their secondary structure includes four short double-helical elements and three loops (D, anti-codon, and T loops). Lineage: Eukaryota; Metazoa; Chordata; Mammalia; Artiodactyla; Bovidae. The record is from Rfam by way of RNAcentral.